UGGGAAAACAGGGGACAAGCCUCUGCCAGCUAGCCCUGGAGCUAACUCUGUGGCCUGAACUUUAAUAAUUUCCCUUCCCUAUCUCAUUAUUUAUUUGUUUAUUUGGUGCUGGGGAUGAACCCAGGGCCACAUUCACAAUAAACAUGAUCUCUACCAUUGAACUACACUACCAGUCCCCCUACUGCAUCUUGACCUCCUGGACUUUGGGUAAUGUCAACAACUAAUAAGUGUCCAGCAGACACCCCUUCACUCUGUAAACACAGCCCCUCUUAUUAGGGGUGCUCUGGAAAACUGAGGAAACUAUGGUACCACCAGCUAAGAGAACAUAAAACUUGGAUGCUUUUCCCCUUUAAUGAUCUCCUAAUCAAGAAUAAAUGAUGCUUGGAUAAAAAAAGAAGAAGAAGAAGAGAUGAAAAUGGAGGAGGAAAUUAAGUUUGGGGGCAGCUGGGCAUGAUGGCACAUACCUGUAAUCCCAGUGAUUUGCAGAGGCUGAGGCAGGAGGAUCGAAAGUUCAAAGCCAGCCUCAGCAACUUAGUGAGGCCCUAAGUACCUUAACAAGACCUUGUCUCAAAAUUAAAAAAAAAAAAAAAAGAAUAAAUAAGAAAGGUUGGGGAUGUGGCUCAGUUGUAAAGC
RNAcentral lists this long non-coding RNA (633 nucleotides) under Marmota monax (woodchuck). The record is from RNAcentral. Lineage: Eukaryota; Metazoa; Chordata; Mammalia; Rodentia; Sciuridae.